GGGCGGUUUGAUCCUGGCUCAGGACGAACGCUGGCGGCGUGCUUAACACAUGCAAGUCGAGCGGAAAGGCCCUUCGGGGUACUCGAGCGGCGAACGGGUGAGUAACACGUGAGUAAUCUGCCCUUAGCUCUGGGAUAGCUCCGGGAAACCGGGAUUAAUACCGGAUACGACCACUACGGACAUCUGUUUUGGUGGAAAGAAUUUCGGCUAGGGAUGAGCUCGCGGCCUAUCAGCUUGUUGGUGGGGUAACGGCCUACCAAGGCGACGACGGGUAGCCGGCCUGAGAGGGCGACCGGCCACACUGGGACUGAGACACGGCCCAGACUCCUACGGGAGGCAGCAGUGGGGAAUAUUGCGCAAUGGGCGAAAGCCUGACGCAGCGACGCCGCGUGGGGGAUGAAGGCCUUCGGGUUGUAAACCCCUUUCAGCAGGGACGAAGCGAAAGUGACGGUACCUGCAGAAGAAGCGCCGGCUAACUACGUGCCAGCAGCCGCGGUAAUAACCUAAAUAGC
This 512-nucleotide ribosomal RNA is filed under the name uncultured bacterium. RNAcentral describes it as "bacterial SSU rRNA". It matches the Rfam family "Bacterial small subunit ribosomal RNA", at positions 9 to 535 of the family's 1533-position model. The record is from RNAcentral.